GUCCUUUCGCAUUUCACGAUGACCGAAAUCUAAGCCAGCAACAGCAUCUUGCACUUCGUACGAGAACUCGUAGUUCGCUGGAUCCUAAAAUUUUAAAAAAAAGAUAAAAAAAAGGAAUCAAGCAAAUAAAAAAAAAAUCGAACAUAGAAAAUUUAUAAAAGUCUAAUAAUCGACGUGAGAAAUUGCUCAUAUGAUCCAACUGUUUUAAAUCUUAGAUAUUUAUCAAUGACCCCAUUCAUCUGGAUGUCCUGUGCCACCUCCAGGUGUACCAGAAGGACGAGAUACACUAGGAGGAAGAUAAGCAGGUCCUUGAGGUUCGCCUCGAAUUCCUAUCAGCAUCGUUGCUACUAAUAAUGCCUAUAAAAUUAAAAAAAAAAAAAAAAAAAUGUAUAUGUACGAUUAAAUUUAUGAAAUCGUUCUUUGAAGAAGAAAAAAAAAGACAAAAUGAAAAAUAAAAAAAUAACAAUACAAAAUAAAGUUAUAUUAACAUAAAAUUUAAUAAAAAAAAUGUAAAAGAAAGAUGGAAAUAUAUUUCCAUUUAUAAAAAUAUAA
Molecule: long non-coding RNA, 552 nt
Organism: Vespula vulgaris
Lineage: Eukaryota; Metazoa; Arthropoda; Insecta; Hymenoptera; Vespidae
Exons: 2
Source: RefSeq, a predicted model, not a curated record